RNAcentral lists this ribosomal RNA (1222 nucleotides) under Leuconostoc carnosum. RNAcentral describes it as "bacterial SSU rRNA". It matches the Rfam family "Bacterial small subunit ribosomal RNA", at positions 241 to 1456 of the family's 1533-position model. The record is from RNAcentral. Lineage: Bacteria; Bacillati; Bacillota; Bacilli; Lactobacillales; Lactobacillaceae.
UUAGUUAGUUGGUGGGUAAAGGCCUACCAAGACAAUGAUGCAUAGCCGAGUUGAGAGACUGAUCGGCCACAUUGGGACUGAGACACGGCCCAAACUCCUACGGGAGGCUGCAGUAGGGAAUCUUCCACAAUGGGCGAAAGCCUGAUGGAGCAACGCCGCGUGUGUGAUGAAGGCUUUCGGGUCGUAAAGCACUGUUGUAUGGGAAGAAAAGUUAAGGUAGGGAAUGACCUUAGCCUGACGGUACCAUACCAGAAAGGGACGGCUAAAUACGUGCCAGCAGCCGCGGUAAUACGUAUGUCCCGAGCGUUAUCCGGAUUUAUUGGGCGUAAAGCGAGCGCAGACGGUUGGUUAAGUCUGAUGUGAAAGCCCGGAGCUCAACUCCGGAAAGGCAUUGGAAACUGGUUAACUUGAGUGCAGUAGAGGUAAGUGGAACUCCAUGUGUAGCGGUGGAAUGCGUAGAUAUAUGGAAGAACACCAGCGGCGAAGGCGGCUUACUGGACUGUAACUGACGUUGAGGCUCGAAAGUGUGGGUAGCAAACAGGAUUAGAUACCCUGGUAGUCCACACCGUAAACGAUGAACACUAGGUGUUAGGAGGUUUCCGCCUCUUAGUGCCGAAGCUAACGCAUUAAGUGUUCCGCCUGGGGAGUACGACCGCAAGGUUGAAACUCAAAGGAAUUGACGGGGACCCGCACAAGCGGUGGAGCAUGUGGUUUAAUUCGAAGCAACGCGAAGAACCUUACCAGGUCUUGACAUCCUUUGAAGCUUUUAGAAAUAGAAGUGUUCUCUUCGGAGACAAAGUGACAGGUGGUGCAUGGUCGUCGUCAGCUCGUGUCGUGAGAUGUUGGGUUAAGUCCCGCAACGAGCGCAACCCUUAUUGUUAGUUGCCAGCAUUCAGAUGGGCACUCUAGCGAGACUGCCGGUGACAAACCGGAGGAAGGCGGGGACGACGUCAGAUCAUCAUGCCCCUUAUGACCUGGGCUACACACGUGCUACAAUGGCGUAUACAACGAGUUGCCAACCUGCGAAGGUGAGCUAAUCUCUUAAAGUACGUCUCAGUUCGGACUGCAGUCUGCAACUCGACUGCACGAAGUCGGAAUCGCUAGUAAUCGCGGAUCAGCACGCCGCGGUGAAUACGUUCCCGGGUCUUGUACACACCGCCCGUCACACCAUGGAAGUUUGUAAUGCCCAAAGCCGGUGGCCUAACCGUAAGGAGGGAACCGU